Molecule: ribosomal RNA, 394 nt
Filed under: uncultured bacterium
Lineage: Bacteria
Description: bacterial SSU rRNA
Rfam family: Bacterial small subunit ribosomal RNA
Source: RNAcentral
AUUGAACGCUGGCGGCAUGCCUUACACAUGCAAGUCGAACGGCAGCACGGGAGCAAUCCUGGUGGCGAGUGGCGAACGGGUGAGUAAUAUAUCGGAACGUGCCCAGUCGUGGGGAUAACGUAGCGAAAGCUACGCUAAUACCGCAUACGAUCUAUGGAUGAAAGCGGGGGAUCGCAAGACCUCGCGCGAUUGGAGCGGCCGAUAUCAGAUUAGGUAGUUGGUGAGGUAAAGGCUCACCAAGCCGACGAUCUGUAGCUGGUCUGAGAGGACGACCAGCCACACUGGGACUGAGACACGGCCCAGACUCCUACGGGAGGCAGCAGUGGGGAAUUUUGGACAAUGGGCGCAAGCCUGAUCCAGCAAUGCCGCGUGCAGGAUGAAGGCCUUCGGGUUG